This is a long non-coding RNA of Anopheles coluzzii, 339 nucleotides long. RefSeq lists it as uncharacterized. NCBI's taxonomy places the organism in Eukaryota, Metazoa, Arthropoda, Insecta, Diptera, Culicidae. The transcript has 4 exons. The record is from RefSeq and is a predicted model, not a curated record.
AACACGAGGAAGGCGCUGCUUCGCGUUCACAUGAAAAUGUGGUAGUGUGAAAUCAAGUUUGCAAGCGGUAGGACGCGUCGGUGUGUGUCCGUUUUUUCUCUCGUGAAACCAGUACGGAAAAACUAUUUGAAAUCGUAACACACGCACGAACGGAAGUGAGCACGGACCACAACAGAAGCAAUAUUCAAUUGGUUGGAGUGCCGAAAACAGAACAGGAGAGGAAAGAAGGCAGGAACGAUUCGAUCCUCCAACGUGCUAGCGCCUGGUAGAGGAGAAGCGGCAGGAAGGUAGAGACGAACAUCCAGCUCGCUAGUGCAGCACGUGGGAGCAGCAAGAGGG